CUGAUGAAGUAAAACAUGUUUGGAACUUUUCUUUCAUCCAUCUGGACAUUGUAGUUGACAAGGUAAUUCACUUUGUGAUGAAGCUGGAUCAGAAGUCUGUGCUCAUAGUAUCUCAGUCCUUGGAUCUCUUGUUUCAGGUCACGUAUCUCUUGCUCGAUAAUCUUAAGUCUCUGAAGUACUGCUUCUACACCCUUAGCGAUUCCACCGAAGCUAGGAUCAACUUUUUCCAGCUCAUUGGUCACCGGUACAUGAUUAUCUGCUUCGGGGUUUUCGUCAGUGGGAACUUGUAGUUCUUGAGCUAAGUUGUGCAGAUCAUGGUACCUUCUUUGCAAUACUUCUCUGAAAUCAUCAUCAGAGAGGAGGUUGCGGGCUAAAUCAAAUCCGGCUCUUAGAACAGUCUUACCUGAAUCUAGGACAGAGUCCCAUGUGUGUUGAU
This 436-nucleotide long non-coding RNA is filed under the name Arabidopsis lyrata. RNAcentral's name for it is "long non-coding RNA (ALYR_LNC000645)". Lineage: Eukaryota; Viridiplantae; Streptophyta; Magnoliopsida; Brassicales; Brassicaceae. The record is from RNAcentral.